This 699-nucleotide long non-coding RNA is filed under the name Marmota monax (woodchuck). The record is from RNAcentral. Lineage: Eukaryota; Metazoa; Chordata; Mammalia; Rodentia; Sciuridae.
GGCAGGUUCACAAGUACGGAUUCUGAGAAGGAGAAUGGACUGUUGGGCGCAUUGUAAUCCCAGGAGACAGAGGCAGGAGGAUUGCAGAAGAAUGUGCCAUGUGCACUUGAGGGGAUGAACCGGGUUUUCAUUGUUGAGAAUUCCAACAAAAGGACAUCCAGAACUGUCCUGGGAGGCUUGUCAGUCAGUUGAGCGUGAUGUUUGUACGCAGUUCUGUAAUGCAGUACGGCAAUCCUAUACAUGUAUGAGACGUGUGGGGUCCAGUCGGGGAGAGGCACUUUCUCUCCUCAGACACCUCCCACUUGUUGGGAGGUGGUGUGUGACACUCUUCUGGAGCUGCAGCCACCCCACUGUGCUACAGAACACUGGGGCCUGGCCUCCCUCUCCAGCGCCUGUUACCCAUCUUUCUCCCUCCUGCCCACUAGGCUCCUCUUCCACCCUCUGCCUCCAUGGAAGCAAUGUUUGUGGCAUCCAUAUCAGGGGGGACCAGCAGUGUUUGUCUCACUUAACAUACUGUGAUUCUUUUUGUGAUGGAUAAUUUGUGAACAUAAACGUUGGCAAGUUGGAAGUGGCACUGAAACAGGUCCUGUUUGCUCUAUCACUGUUGCUCUUUCCUGACGAGAAGCACACGCAUUCCUGGGCACCUCCACCAGGUGGAAGCUACCCUCCUAUCCAGCCCCAAGUUCCUCGGGAUCAGGC